Molecule: transfer RNA, 73 nt
Filed under: Candidatus Micrarchaeota archaeon CG1_02_55_22
Lineage: Archaea; Nanobdellati; Microcaldota
Description: tRNA-Gln
Rfam family: tRNA
About the family: Transfer RNA (tRNA) molecules are approximately 80 nucleotides in length. Their secondary structure includes four short double-helical elements and three loops (D, anti-codon, and T loops).
Source: RNAcentral
AGCCCCAUCGUCCAGCGGUCCAGGACGCAAGCCUCUGGAGCUUGAAACCGCGGUUCGAAUCCGCGUGGGGCUA